GUGGGGAAUCUUCCGCAAUGGACGAAAGUCUGACGGAGCAACGCCGCGUGAGUGAAGAAGGUUUUCGGAUCGUAAAGCUCUUUCGUUAGGGACGAACGUGCUCUUUGUGAAUAAUGAGGAGUAAUGACGGUACCUAAAUAAGAAGCCACGGCUAACUACGUGCCAGCAGCCGCGGUAAUACGUAGGUGACAAGCGUUGUCCGGAAUUAUUUGGCGUAAAGCGCGCGCAGGCGGGAUAUCAAGUCUGUCUUAAAAGUGCGAGGCUCAACCUCGUGAGGGGACAGAAACUGGUAUUCUUGAGUGUCGGAGAGGAAAGUGGAAUUCCAAGGGUAGCGGUGAAAUGCGUAGAGAUUUGGAAGAACACCAGUGGCGAAGGCGACUUUCUGGACGAUGUCUGACGCUGAGGCGCGAAAGCUAGGGGAGCGAAUGGGAUUAGAAACCCCGGUAGUCC
This 450-nucleotide ribosomal RNA is filed under the name uncultured bacterium. Its description in RNAcentral is "partial 16S ribosomal RNA". It matches the Rfam family "Bacterial small subunit ribosomal RNA", at positions 354 to 796 of the family's 1533-position model. The record is from RNAcentral.